RNAcentral lists this ribosomal RNA (253 nucleotides) under uncultured bacterium. RNAcentral describes it as "partial 16S ribosomal RNA". It matches the Rfam family "Bacterial small subunit ribosomal RNA", at positions 524 to 776 of the family's 1533-position model. The record is from RNAcentral.
UACGUAGGGUGCAAGCGUUGUCCGGAAUUAUUGGGCGUAAAGAGCUCGUAGGCGGUCUGUCGCGUCUGCUGUGAAAACUCAGGGCUUAACCCUGAGCUUGCAGUGGGUACGGGCAGACUAGAGUGCGGUAGGGGAGACUGGAAUUCCUGGUGUAGCGGUGAAAUGCGCAGAUAUCAGGAAGAACACCCGUGGCGAAAGCGGCUCUCUGGAACGGUACUGACGCUGAGACGCGAAAGCGUGGGGAGCAAACAGG